AAACUAGAGCUCAUAUACUUACAAUUCAAAAAUUUAAUUAUGUCGAGAAUCAUAUUUUUUUGUUAGUCUAUAAAAGAAAUACAUAAUUUUGAGCUCGAUUUUUUCUUCAUUUAUACCUUUAACUCUUAACUUAAACUACAUUAUGUGCUAUUGUAUCCGUUUUAUUAUAUUAUUUAAGUUAUUAAUUUUAAAAAAAGCUAUAUCUCAUUGAAUAAAUUGGAAACUAUCCCAUACUGACAACAGGAAUUUAUUUUAAUUUUAUUUAUAAAAAGUAUUUGAUCGUAGUAUAUGUCAAAAUUGAAAUAUCUUUUUAUGUAUAAUUAAUCACAAUAGAAAAGUAGAGAAAUGAAAAUUUUAACAUGUCCGUCUAUAUAUAUACCCUAAUAAUAAAUAAAUCAAUUUAAAUAUAAUAUGAAAACUUGAGCACCUCAAAAAAUUGAUCGUACUAUGGUUGUUGUUGUUUGUGUGAAUUAGUGGAAAAUCAUUCAAGUUGAAGGGCCAUGGCUACCAUAUGUUGGUAGUGAAUCAGAAUAAAUUCUUGAAUUAAUCUUUGUAUCACUUAAACUCUUUUCUUUUUUUAUUUGUUUUAUUUAAAGGAAUUUCAUUAUAAUUUGAACUCCCAUUUCUUAUAUUCCUCACUUUGUUCAGUUAACGUUAGAGGUUGAGAUAAUCAUGUGAGAGUAAAGAUGCUUCUGUGAAAUAGAUGUAUGGUAUGGUUCUGGUGAUGAAAGUUCUGAUGGAUCUGUUAAGAAACCUCCUUUAUUAUUUGACGGAAAAAUCAUACUAAAUCAGCAUCAAUAUAUAGCACAUAAUUCAACAUUUACAACAUCAAUCAUCAUCUUAAACAUACAAAAUAUGCUAGGAUGUUUGAUAUAUAUGUUGGACCGUGAACCCGUAAUUUCUCAUUUCUAAGUACAUGUGUAUUAGUUUCACCACUAAACUCUUGAUAACUAAAAAAAAAAAUCAACCUUAUUUUAUAAGUAUUAUGAUGCUUCUAUAUUUCUAGACCAUUUGAUCUUGUUGCCGAAAUACACACACACACACACACUUGUUAACCACAAUUAUUGAAGCCAUAACCAGAAUCCUUAGGAAUGUCAAUGUUGUACUUAAAUGUGACUGGAGGGUUGUCAUGGUGAUAUGCUAUGACAGUCUCUGGUAUCCAACCAUCCGUGCCGUUCCUAAAUAGAUACAUUUUGCAUAUUUUACCAAUACAUGGUCCCAAUAUCUCAAAAUCCAUCGUGGUGCAUUGCUCGAACGUCGUCCCAGAAUCAGGAUCGUCCAAUCUUGGUACAUAAACCUGCAAUUAUUAUAUGUAUAGAUAUAUAAUUUUUUUGUUGGCAACUAACAAAUAUUAAUAAUUAGGGUGUAAUAUUAUUUGCACAACAAAAAUUAAGGAGCAACAUAAACAUGUAUAGAUAUAUGAUUAAUUGUUUGUGGUAUAGAAAGGAACCUCAGAGCCAUCAGCAUCUCCAAAUAAAAUACUGAUUUCAUCUUUUGUAGAUAAAGGAGAUUUGCAGCUUGUUGCUAUGGUCACCUUGUAAUCGCAGUUACCACUCCGUUUAGUCUCAUUCUGAAACAUGCAUAUAUAACCUUUUAUUUAAGAUGCAUUAAUUAAAAUAUGAAAUUAAUAAUAAAUCAUUCAUCCAGUGACUAAACUUUACAGGGAAAAGGGACAUUGAAAAUUGAUUUACUUGUUGUUGGGUAUGAAUAAGCAUGGAUGAUUGGUUCAUUUGAGGUUGAGUGCGAAUGAUCAAUGUUGGUGUUGCAUGUGUGAAGGCAACGAUGAUGAUGAUGAUGAUGGAGAAUGUGAAGAUUAAGGUUAGAAGAGUUUUCAUGUUUUUGUGCUUCAAGAGAAUAGAAUGAGCAUUAGAAAGGCCAGGAGCAAUAUUUAACUAAACCAUGAAAUGCUAACACUAUACUAUAUACUCUUUUAAAAAAUAUAUUAAUAAAUUGUAUGUCUUCUAAAACUUUGUAUGGCUUCAUGGAAAUGUAAUCACUAAUACCUUUGCAUAAAUGAAAGAUCACAAGUCACGACUAAUUGUUGGU
Molecule: long non-coding RNA, 2046 nt
Filed under: Medicago truncatula (barrel medic)
Lineage: Eukaryota; Viridiplantae; Streptophyta; Magnoliopsida; Fabales; Fabaceae
Description: lncRNA gene12819
Source: RNAcentral